Molecule: long non-coding RNA, 1311 nt
Organism: Rana temporaria (common frog)
Lineage: Eukaryota; Metazoa; Chordata; Amphibia; Anura; Ranidae
Exons: 3
Source: RefSeq, a predicted model, not a curated record
UUGCUAUAGCCGAGUUUGAGCUCCCAAGAGACAUACCACAGAGGAGCUCCCAGCUAGACCAGAAGCCUGAGAAUAACCUUACACUGCUGGAUGGAAGACAGAGAGAAAGAUAAAGAAGGAAGGGACACAACAUAGAUCAUGCCUGCAAACUCUUAAUGCUGCCCCUAAACUUUGUUUCUUGAGCCAAGAUCAUGUGACGAGUAUAAAGGGGAACAGCAAGGGCUUAGAGCAAGUACAGCAAGACAAACACGUCACUGACGUCAGGUCAGCGGACACAGCUGGAAGAUAUCAGAUACAACAGCAUGAAUGUUGCUAAACUACAACUGCCACAAAGCAUAUCAAAACCUCCAGAAGCUGUCCAUGACACCACAACCCAUCCAUAGACUAAGUGCAAAAAUAUCAUGAAGCGCAGGAGACUACAAAGCUUUUUUAUGGGUUGGAAAAAGCAAUGUUGGCACACCUUGGAAAAUUGUUAAAGUGUAACUUAACACAUUAGUCAACCAAGAAGAAUUUCUUACUGCAGAAGAGACAUACUGGGGGGGAAUUCAAUAAAAAUGUUACGCCACUUUUCUGGCAUUAAUUGCUCUAGCUAAUGUGUUUCACCUAAUUAAAAAAACAUAUGCAACAGUUUUGGUUUUGACAGUGACUAGUGUGCCAAAUAAGGUUAUAACUUCUCCACUACCAAUUUGUUUGUCUACGUUGUGAUGCAACAACUGCACCAAAUUCUAAAUAAAACACAGACAGUUGGUAUCUUAUGAAAGGGGAGCUAAUGAAGACCAACUUUCUUUUGAUGUACAGAGACAAAUUUUGCUUGCAAAACACUUUCAUAAAAUCUGUCUUUAUGAAUUCCAUGUCUUUUCUGCAAUUGAGGCUUCUUACUAUCCCCCUCGCCAGAUGUUUUAGAAUGUACACUGAGCUGCACAGGGUACAUUGCUGUAGUUAUGUUAUCCAAGUCCCGUCAAUCAAGAUGGCUAUUGGCCCCAAACCCAGAGGAAGUCUUGAAGAACAUGUUGGUGCCAGCAGGGAGGCUUGUAGACGUUGCAUCAUUAGGGAAAGUGAGUAUCAAAGUGUUUAGUUCAGCUUUAACAGCUUCGUAUAUACAUGUCCAAGGACAAAUCAUAAAGAUCAAGUCAUUCAGCAGCCCCGCCAAUGACCACAUAAGUUGGUAGUUGUGGCUGUUAUGCUUUAGGAUUUGCCAUCAUGCCUGAAUCAAUACAAUAGAUAACUAGCAGGUGGGACAGUUGUGUGUUUCCUACACAUGUGCCAUUUGUCUACCAAUUAGAUCAUAACAGCCUAACCUUUGCAAAUAAA